AAGUCGUAACAAGGUUUCCGUAGGUGAACCUGCGGAAGGAUCAUUAUCGUGGGGCUUCGGCCCUCUCGAGAUAGAACCCUUGCCUUUUUGAGUACCUUUCGUUUCCUCGGCGGGCUCGCCCGCCAAUGGGGACCGCAAUAAACCCUUUGUAAUACCUGUAAUCGUCUGACAAAACAAACAAAAAUUAAAACUUUCAACAACGGAUCUCUUGGUUCUG
This 217-nucleotide unclassified non-coding RNA is filed under the name Preussia flanaganii. RNAcentral's name for it is "partial internal transcribed spacer region". The stretch from base 1 to 46 matches the Rfam family "Eukaryotic small subunit ribosomal RNA", at positions 1786 to 1831 of the family's 1831-position model. The record is from RNAcentral. Lineage: Eukaryota; Fungi; Ascomycota; Dothideomycetes; Pleosporales; Sporormiaceae.